This 465-nucleotide ribosomal RNA is filed under the name uncultured bacterium. RNAcentral's name for it is "partial 16S ribosomal RNA". It matches the Rfam family "Bacterial small subunit ribosomal RNA", at positions 29 to 507 of the family's 1533-position model. The record is from RNAcentral.
AUGAACGCUGGCGGCGUGCUUAACACCUGCAAGUCGAACGAUGAAGCCCAGCUUGCUGGGUGGAUUAGUGGCGAACGGGUGAGUAACACGUGAGUAACCUGCCCUUAGCUCUGGGAUAAGCCUGGGAAACUGGGUCUAAUACCGGAUAGGAGCGCCUACCGCAUGGUGGGUGUUGGAAAGAUUUAUCGGUUUUGGAUGGACUCGCGGCCUAUCAGCUUGUUGGUGAGGUAAUGGCUCACCAAGGCGACGACGGGUAGCCGGCCUGAGAGGGUGACCGGCCACACUGGGACUGAGACACGGCCCAGACUCCUACGGGAGGCAGCAGUGGGGAAUAUUGCACAAUGGGCGAAAGCCUGAUGCAGCGACGCCGCGUGAGGGAUGACGGCCUUCGGGUUGUAAACCUCUUUCAGUAGGGAAGAAGCGAAAGUGACGGUACCUGCAGAAGAAGCACCGGCUAACUACGUG